RNAcentral lists this ribosomal RNA (682 nucleotides) under Arthronema africanum tsf1f8. RNAcentral's name for it is "bacterial SSU rRNA". It matches the Rfam family "Bacterial small subunit ribosomal RNA", at positions 91 to 814 of the family's 1533-position model. Lineage: Bacteria; Bacillati; Cyanobacteriota; Cyanophyceae; Leptolyngbyales; Leptolyngbyaceae. The record is from RNAcentral.
CUUUUUCGGACCGGGGUGGUAACGCGUGAGAAUCUGCCUUCAGGUCGGGGAUAACGACUGGAAACGGUCGCUAAUACCGGAUGUGCCGAGAGGUGAAAGCUUAAUGUGCCUGAAGAUGAGCUCGCGUCCGAUUAGCUAGUUGGUGGGGUAAGAGCCUACCAAGGCGGUGAUCGGUAGCUGGUUUGAGAGGAUGAUCAGCCACACUGGGACUGAGACACGGCCCAGACUCCUACGGGAGGCAGCAGUGGGGAAUUUUCCGCAAUGGGCGCAAGCCUGACGGAGCAAUACCGCGUGCGGGAGGAAGGCUUUUGGGUCGUAAACCGCUUUUAUUGGGGAAGAAGCUCUGACGGUACCCAAUGAAUCAGCAUCGGCUAACUCCGUGCCAGCAGCCGCGGUAAUACGGAGGAUGCAAGCGUUAUCCGGAAUUAUUGGGCGUAAAGCGUCCGCAGGUGGCUGGUCAAGUCUGCUGUCAAAGCGUAGAGCUUAACUCUAUAUCGGCAGUGGAAACUGGAUAGCUAGAGUACGGUAGGGGUAGCGGGAAUUCCCAGUGUAGCGGUGAAAUGCGUAGAUAUUGGGAAGAACACCAGCGGCGAAAGCGCGCUACUGGGCCUGUACUGACACUGAGGGACGAAAGCUAGGGGAGCGAAAGGGAUUAGAUACCCCUGGUAGUCAAAAGGGGGGU